AGGGGCAGACACACAGGUUACUAAGGGUUACUCCCCUCCCGCAGCCCCAGGACUGCACACCCCACAAAGCAACUAGACCACCAGGCUGUGGCAAGACCAAUCAAGUCCCGGGUUCCUCCUAUCCAGGCAAGGACGGGCCCAUGAGCAACGUACUCAUGAAGAUGCACCUCCGGCCAAUGAGCGCUCUGUGCUCAUAAAGACACGCGCAAUUCCACUAUUCACCUACUAACUCGGCAAAGCACACAAAUUUGAUGCAGACCCAGUUCUGGGGGGCUGCGGUGAAACAGGAAUGCUCCUAACACUUCGUCCACAGCCUUUCUGAAGCGCAACCUGGGGAAAAUAUAUCCAAUUCCUUGAUCAGGUAAUUUCACUACUUGGAUUUUUAUCUUAAGAAAACAUUCUAAGAUGUGUGUAAAAAUUUGGCAACAUACCGUUAAAUGGAAAAGAAGAGAGUAACCCAAACACCCUACAAUGGUGGUGAAAUCAAUGUUUUUCAAGCAGGGACCUCUAUGCAAACAUAACUGACGCGCCGCGAUACUUCCCUUGAGAAGGGAUCUGACUUGGAGGAAGCCCAGGCUGUAACUGCCCCACACAGGGCGACACGACGCCCGCUCUACCCACUCUCCACAACCAGAGCGGGAGCCGCAGGCUAGAAGGGGCCGAGCUGAAGUCCUGAGCCUGGUGUGUAACAGAGCCAUGCAGGGAGCUGGGGAAACAUGAGUUCUCGGCCUCACCUGGAGACACAGAGUCUCUAGAAGGGAGUGGUCCUGUGCCCUCCACAGGUGCUGGGGACUGGGAGGUCUGAUCUGCUGAGGAGGGGCCAGGCUCCAGGUUCUGGUGCUCGCCAGCUGGGGGCCUCAUCUGGAAGAGGUGCAUGAUGCUCCCUGCCUGCCUUGCUGGGCCCUUUGAGGCCCCAGAGAGAGAGUAGGCUGCGCAGAAGCUUCUCCGCUCACCAAGUGUGCUCCCUCUGUGUGCUCCCAGGCACCAAGUGUGCUCCCAGGCUGGCCUGGGGCAGGAGGCAGCCUGGGGCCUGCCCGAGCGGCAGGCAGAGCUUGAACAGGAUUUCAAGGGUACGCAGGCCAGUUCUGCUUGGCGUCAGCUGCCAGCGAUGGGGGUAGGGCUGACACUGUGCACAAGUGGGUGCAGUUCAACACCUGCUCCCAGGGCAGAGCACAAAAUCCAGCCUUCUCCUCAGAAUGAUGCACAUGCCACAGACAGGACAGAGGCUGAGACAGUGAGGGGCACUCCCGGCGCAGUCCUGGAUAUCCCCAACCGGACUGCAGCAACGAGGUCGAAUAGCAGAGGGGAGCGAGGGAAGAGCUGCGCACAGAGGGCAGGGGGGAAUUCCAGCCUUUAGUUUCUUCCCAGCAGAUGGGUGGGGACUGGGGAAGCAAAGCAGGGCCUUGGAGCACCCGCCGCCUCCCUCGCCGCACGCCUGCUGACGCCAAGACCACAGACCUGUCCCGAGGGCCUGAUUCUUUCAAAGGCUGCAGUGUUUGUGUGUCUCUUUGAAAUACAGGUGAUCACUGGCUGUCACAGCCAACAAGCUGUUGAACCAGCCUCAGCGGAUGGGAAAUAAAAGGCGCUCUCUCUGGAGGAAGGUAUAUGUGCCUGCCAUGGGCACGCUCAUUGUUCCUGAACACUCGGUGGAGGAAGCCGUUCUGAUGGGUUUGCUUUUUUUGGAAUCUUUUGAUUAACUGAGAAAGGUGAAGGCUGAGGUGUUGGGGGGAGCUCUGCACGGGAACUCAGGAGAGUGGCAGGGGCACCCAUUAGACUGGAGAUGCUGGCCCCCCAAGGAGCCACAGGUCCACCCUCUGGGCCAUGGUGGGAUUCGAUGCAGCCCGGUGGUGUGCACACAGCACAAUCCCCUCACCACGGCAGAGAGCUGGAGACGGCGACCCCUGCACAACAGCCCCAGGUUCCUCACCGGCUCCUGGCCAGGCCUGGACGAUGGAUCGGCAACCAGGAUCCUCGCCUGCCCCUGGCCAGGCCUGGGCGAUGGACCAGCAGCUCCCAAAGCGAACCUGCCGCUUGUGAGGUGGAAGCCCCAGUGCUUUCGAGGGGAGGGUCUCUGAGGCUCCUCCUGCUUCUCAGCCACCCUCUUGACUGGCCUAGACCUGAGCCAGGACAGAAGGAGAACUGAGUAGGGGGCACAAAACAGGGGCAAGAUGGCCCAGCCUGGGUGGCCUCAGCCGUGUGUCCCGGGCUCUGCUGAGCCAGGCUGCCCCGACAGAGGAGGCCUAGGGUGAGGCCAGGAUGCGUCAGGGCCUGAGGUCCCCGGGGAGCCUGACCCACCUUCUCCUGACCCUGGCUGAGCAGCCUGUUUCUUGGCCUGUAGAGCAGCCACGGUGUGUAAGGAUAAAUAAUCAUGUCCAGUCAAGGCCAGAGCAGCCCGGAUGACAUGCUGUGAACAGGUUCUAGGUGGGUGACAGGGCACUGAGGCCGACUGCCUUGGGUGUCAGCCACAUCUGUUGAGAUGCGUGUGCCUGACGCCCGAACGCGUGCCAGCGUUUUCUGCGAGCUGUCAUGUGAGGGGCCUGGGGCGUGGCCUGCUGCGAGUGUUUUCUGUGGCCUCGCACGUGAACGCAGCAGGAGCGCAGCCUGCGCAAUCGGACAGACGCCGCACAGCGCUUGUCUGUGCUCACCCUCUCGGUCCUGCUCGGAGCUUCCCACUGACCUCCUCUGGCAUAAGGCGCAGGUAGCGGGGGUGCCUAACUUAUGGCCACCAUGAUUGUGUGGGUCUCGGCACUAACCGUGGUGCUACGGUCGAAAUUUGUGCCCCCCCCCCCCCCACCAUUCCUCAGUGCAAAAGGUGGGGCCUCUGGGAGGUGAUGAGGUCAUGUAGGGGCCUUCACAGAUGGGAUGAGGGCCCAUAACAGAGACUGGAGGGAGCGCAGGUGCCUCUCCAGCCAGACAAGGAUGUGAGAAAGUGCCAACUAUGAAGAGCAGGCCCUCACAAGACCCCGAUCCUGUUGGCACCUGGAUCUUGGACUUCCCAGCUUCUAACUAAGAAAUACAUUUCUGCGGUUUAUACGUUCCCCAGUCUAAGGCAUCUUUGUCACAGCAGCCCAAACAAAGUAAGACACUUUAUGCAUUAGCCAUAGCCAGGCACGGGCACUGGAGACCCAUUAGCUAGACCUUUCACAGACGUGUGGCUUUUGCCUCACUGCGCCCUGGAAGGGGCUGAGGUCAGACAGGCAAUACAGAGGCAGACUCCAUCCACAUGGGCAUCACGGCGCCAGGCAACUCUUCCACCUCUGGGCUGCAGCCAGCCUGCCUGCCGAGUCAGGGUGUUCAGGGCUAUCUGGACUAAUUGGGCCCUUUCUGCUGUGAAGCAGGGGGAGUCUACAAGGAAGGGCUGGUGAAUCUCGUCACAAGCAAACCCCAGAAUGCCACUGAGUCUCCAGUAUUCUUCAAAUAUACCUGCUUCCUGGCCACAAAGCCAGCGAAACCUUGAGAAUUCCGUUGACUCAAAACAGCCAUUUCAGCCACAGUAAAAGAAAGCCAAGAACCACCCACUGUUUGCCCCAGCUGGUGGCGAGCCCCACCUGUCAGGAAGGAAUGUGACUGCCACAAUGGGGCGGUGUGUGUUCUGCCCAGAGCCCCAUCCCUCGUGAGCAACCCCCAUGCAGACACCCAGGGUGUGCCACACCCAGGCCCUGCAGCUGCCCUGUGCCCUCCAUGCCCCGGGGCAAGGUCCCGCCCCAGAGUCUCCUAGCAGCUCUAGCUACCCCAUGGAAGAACACUGCACAGGCAAGUUGGAAGCCUGGAGGCCUGUGUGCCCUCAAAAAUGUCUGCAAAAAGCCGCAAAAUGGCUAAGUUCAAAGUGCUGCAUGAACACAUUAUUCCAAGGUGAAAGUGCUGCUCCAGGACCAACUGUCCCCCAGCCCGUCGACUUCUGCUCUCUUGACAUCCAGCCCCAGCCCUGGGCUGGGCCACCUACUCUGGAACAGGCCUGCCCAGGUACAAGCUGAAAUACAGACCUGCCUCAGGAAACUCAUCAACUCAACAUAUCAGCUCUGUACUGCUGCCAGGCAGACUGCUACUCACUCCGUCCAGCCUCAGCCCAACAAGCUCAUUCCCUCUCCCAGGUGCUGCUGUUCCUGGGCCAGCAGGGUGAACACGUAAUAGAGACGCUAGAAACAUCUCCUGAGCUGAACUAAACCACAUGUUUUAUCAGUAGUGACCCAGAACCCACUCUGGGCUCCGAAGGGCAAGGCCUGGGGAGUGGAGGGGGAAACAGCCCCAGCAUUUGUCUAGGGACUGCUGUCCCUAGAACUCAUGAGCUACGGCCCCACAUGCAGGAGUGGGCAUCCGGUGACAAAGACAAAGCUGGCUGGUCAGGUGAUAUGUCUGGGAGCAGAUAGUGACCACUCCCCUUUGUCCCGGUUGCCUCCUCCGAAGGAGGCUGCGGUAUUCUCACCCCCUGGGCCCUGGCUCUCCACUGAACCUGGAGGGUUCCGGAGAGGAGAGUGGGAAACUAGACUCUGCAGCUGGAGGCACUGAGAUCCUCCACUGGCCAAGUGGCCUCACUUCCCGUUUCCUCCCCUGGGAAGCAGAACUGCUGUCUCUGGCCAGGCUGCUUCACAGGGCCACUGCAAGGAUCCUAAGAGGAAAGCCAGGCUGCUGGUGUCCCACCUGGAGUCCCAAACCCACAGCAGUGCCCACUCUCCACUGCUGUGAGUGUUGGCUCUGACAGUUCAUGGCUGCCCCUUCCGGAACUACUCUGGGCUGGGAGAUCUAGGAUAGGAAGGAGGUUACCCUUUCCCUUUGGGGUCACCCCCAGCCAAUGACCAACAGGUGCAGGGACAGGAGCUGUCCCUCCUCUUGGGCGGGAUCAAGUCCCACGUGCUAGUCACACUUCGCAGCUCCCAAAGCACCAGGCUGAGAAGCGACUUCAGCUGAGCCCACCUCUUUCCUGGGCCUCUGCAGUUCAUGGGCUUCCCUCGCCUCCCUGAAGGUUCUUGCUGGGAGCAUCCCUCUCUGUGUCACUGGCACGAGAAUCCCCGGCUCAGGCCCCGCUUCUAGAGACCCAAUCUAAAGCCACAGGUAAAAGCACCCUGGGUGUUAAUGUAGUUAUAGGUUAUGCACCUGCUUCUUAGUACUACUAUUCUUUCUAGAACGGGAAUGUCAAGCCAUGGUCAGAGACUGGCCACGGGGCCCUGUGGGGAGUCCAGUUCCUGGCCCCAGCCUGCCUGGCAUGUGCUGGGGAGGGGUGGUUGUUGGGGACGCCUCUCCUCGGUUAGUCGGUGUCUUAAGUGUAGUGCCCACAUGAGGCUUCCUCUGGGCCCCUGCCUGCGCCAAGUCCGUCUCCCAGAGGUGCUCAAGUGCCUCCCUUUUGGGCAAGCGAAGACCACUUCCCUCCUGUGCCACUGCUCCUCAUGGCGGGACCAGCUGCGUUUCCUCCUUCCCUUGCUCUCUCCCUCUUUUUAGUCCAGUUUUAUGGCGCUCUGUGUUAGAGGUCUUCAUGGAGCUACCUCGAGUCCCUCUGAGAAAGGGCCAUCAACAAGCCCAACUCACAAGUCACGAGCAGAGCUGGUCCCCAGCCUGGCCUGGCAGCUGCCCUGCUGAAAGCUGCAGGGGCCCCAGGCUCUGGCUGAGUGGACGCAUUUCCUCCCCAAACAGACGCUUGCAUGAGAACAGAAUUCUCCAAGUAUCAAGAAAACACCAGGCUAUGAGAAUGGAUGGCCAACAGCCUGGAAAUUUUCUAAGUCCCAUUUGUGCUGGAAGCUGGCACAGAAACAACCAAGACGGCAAGGCAUGUGGUUUCCUAGGCUUUUUAAAAAACUAUUUCAGAAAAGAAAAAAAGGCACAAGCAUA
RNAcentral lists this long non-coding RNA (5820 nucleotides) under Homo sapiens (human). RNAcentral's name for it is "HSALNT0360498". The record is from RNAcentral. Lineage: Eukaryota; Metazoa; Chordata; Mammalia; Primates; Hominidae.